This is a non-coding RNA of Neolamprologus brichardi, 510 nucleotides long. The record is from RefSeq and is a predicted model, not a curated record. NCBI's taxonomy places the organism in Eukaryota, Metazoa, Chordata, Actinopteri, Cichliformes, Cichlidae.
CACCUUUGAAGUCCUGUCUUCUGACACACAGAAAAAUGUUCUUUCUGCACUGCGGAGACUGGAAGCGGUGACGAAGUUGAGGGUGUCCCAGCAGAAGGAAUACAAAGUGAACAAAGCAGCUGUCAGCAGAACUGGUGACAUACUCUCUGGGAAAGUCCCUCUUGAGAGCCUCCACACUACACCUGACGCAAGGCUUCAGUGUCAAGUGGAAUAAAUUCAUCCUCAGUAUCAGCUCACAGCCCCCUCCCCAAUAAACUUACCCAUCUAUUCGCUACUUCUACCUCAUUGUCAUCCCUGUGGUCUCUUUAUCUUUACACAGUCAAAUCGGUACAAAUGCAGUCUGUGCUCACAGGCAAAAUACUUAAUCCUUGAUGCCGGCCAGACUUAAUCUACUGAAUGGUGGCUACCUCUCUGUCCUUUACAGACCUGAGAAGACUGAGAUGAAGCUAAACGCCCUGCAGGAUAAAUGCUGGUAAUAUAAAGGUGGCCUAUUACUGAUUUUGUUUCACU